Molecule: long non-coding RNA, 2403 nt
Organism: Papaver somniferum (opium poppy)
Lineage: Eukaryota; Viridiplantae; Streptophyta; Magnoliopsida; Ranunculales; Papaveraceae
Exons: 4
Source: RefSeq, a predicted model, not a curated record
CCCUUUGCCUCUCAUUUUUAUCGAAAAACCCGUAGGAAGAACUUAAAACUUAUUAUUUUCUAAUUACCAUCGCCCAUCUCUCUCAAACAACCCUUCUCUCACUAGGAAGAUAUCCUCCUUUCACGAUUUUUUCUUAGAAAAAUUGGGGAUCUGGGUUUCAUGUUUUUCUUCGAUCCUUGUCUCACGAUCACUCACAGUUUCGCUCUGAAAAAUUUCAACUUUGAUCUCGUGUGCAGAAUCAAGCUCUCUCUCUCUCUCUUUAUUGGAUAACCAGAUGAAUUGUUUCCCAUCUCUAUAUAUCUCGAUUCAUCUCUAAGGAAAAAUUAUGGUCCUUUGUUGCUUGAUUGAGUUGAUGCUGGACGUAAAGAUUCUAAAGCAUAUGAUGUUUCGAGGAUUCAAGCUUAUCAUUCACCGGGUGGAGGACCUUUGUACUGGAUUCCUCAUAGUUUGGUAAAAAAUUCUUUGCUUAUGCUACUUUCGUUUGAUUUUAUGACAACAAAAUAUCUGGUUCAGUCCCCGGUUCAACUCUUGUUUUCCCUCCUUUAUUCGAAACAAUUGACAUCGCCUAAUAUUUGAUUUCCUAUAAGUUUUUCAUUUUAUAUUGAGAUUUUCCUUUUCCUAUUUUUAUAAAAUAUUCUGUUCACUCUUUCAGUAGUUCUAGCGCCUCUUUUGAUUAGGCACUCAGUUUGGUAUUGGAUUUGUUGGUUCUUACUACACGGCUCUAUUCAUUAUAGAAUUCGGAAUUCACUUAAGAAGCUUUUGAGCAUGAAAGUGCCGAGCAGAGAAAGGAACUUGCAUAUCAACUUGUUGGCCACUUUUUUCCUUCAAGUCUUCAGAUGUAUGGAUGUCGUGUAAUCCAAAAGAAAUGUGUGACUGUGUUCCAACAGAGGAAACUGGAUUCGUAAUUUCUGCAUUUCGUAAACAAGGUGCAGCACCAUCUACAUAUCCCUACGGUUGACGAGUUAUUCAGGGACUUAGUUUUACUCUAGAAAUGCAAUUGAAGGCGAUAAAAAACUUUUCCAGACUCUUGCUCGUGUGAUUUUUCUAAAUCCUGAUUUGUUACUUGUUGAGAAGCUUACGGUAUGUGCUCUUUAUAAAGAUAUUGAUCAGGCUGUUACUUCCCAUUGUGGUUUGUUAAUACGAAAUCUAAUUUAGGUCGGCAGCGUAUUACCACGAGGAAACUUUUAACAGUUCAAUCGGUGUAUGAAUUAGAUUGAUAAGAGUGCAAAAUUCACUUAAAGGUUUGUGGCCUCUUCAACUUUUGUUGUUAUAACAUUUGUUUUUUACAUCGGUGCGGUUACGAUGUGGUCGUGCCACAUCAUUCAAGUAUGUGGCCCAUCUUUAAAUAGUGACACAUAGUUUUUUUGUUCUCCAAAACAGCUUAUUACCUAACUUUUUGUCUUAACUUCCUACUUUUUCUCAAAAAGGUAAAGCAAUUACGGAUAUUUAGAGGGGGCAGGUUUUGAAUAUGAGUACGUGUCAAAAUAUGAAGAGGGGCCACGUACAAAAUAUAUGUGGCCCGAACACAUCAUAAUCCGAGCGUUUUUACAUAGUAAGUACCAGCCUGAAAAACACCAGAAAACAUACAUCUAGGCUAUCUAGCCCAGUGGUUACUUCUGACUUAAGACUUCAGUAUGCUAUAUUGUUAUAUAUGCUAUUUACCUUGCUCUUAUCAGCACUGUUUUUUCCAAUUGAAAACUAAAGUCAUGUAGAUCGGAAAUCAACAAAAUUGGAAUAUGUAUGGGCUAAUUAAAAUUUCAAGCCAUUUAACUACAAUUUGGAAUCAUAAAUGGGUUAUUCAAAAUUUUGAACUGUGAGCUUACAUUCUGGGAUAUGAAGUAUUAGAGAUGUCAUGUGAGAUAGUUUUAAGAGAGAUAGGGGUGGUUCAGUUAGAAUAUGUGGUGAGAUGUUUGGGAAAUCUAGGAGUCUGAGUAUUAGUAAUUUUAAGUUUUUAAAUUCUUGCUUACUGCUAACGUUUUCUUCUGGCACUGUUUAAUGCUAUUCGUUAUUGUAUUAAUAAAAGAGCUUGUGUGUUGUUGCUUUAAAAAUGUAAUUUUGGGUAAUUAUCUUGUAUUCAUUUUUCGGAGGAAGUUCGAGUGCUAUGAAGAAGAGACCAUGGAUAAUAAACCAAGUCAAAGUGUUGGUGACAUGAUUGUGUUUGUCCAAAUUUCGGUUCAAUCAUUGGUGCAUGAAGUUGCAGGUGUGUUGGUCCAUCUUUGGGUAUCAAAACAUGAAGAAAGUAGAUUCCGAUGAACUUUACGAAAAAUGGAUAUCCUUUCCUAUUUCUUUGUCAAUUUCUUUUAGCCAGCACUAAGAAUACUUUCCUGUUAAGUAUAUUGAAAUAUGUAAACUACAUCUUACAUUAACUUGUAAUCAACUUAUUUAUUCGGAAUUUUUAGUUCC